This 107-nucleotide small nuclear RNA is filed under the name Echinops telfairi (small Madagascar hedgehog). The record is from RNAcentral. Lineage: Eukaryota; Metazoa; Chordata; Mammalia; Afrosoricida; Tenrecidae.
GUGCUCGCUUCGGCAGCACAUAUACUAUAAUUGGAACGAUACAGAGAACAUUAGCAUGGCCCCUGCUCAAAGAUGACACGCAAAUUCAUGAAGCGUUCCAUAUUUUA